AGCAGCCGCGGUAAUUCCAGCUCCAAUAGCGUAUAUUAAAGUUGUUGCAGUUAAAAAGCUCGUAGUUGAAUUUCGGGAUCAUCAGGUUGGUCGUGCCUCUGGUAUGUACUUGCUUCGAUGGUCCCUCCUUCUUGAAGAACCGUAAUGCCAUUAAUUUGGUGUUGCGGGGAAACAGGACUGUUACUUUGAAAAAAUUAGAGUGUUUAAAGCAGGCAAUCGCUUGAAUACAUUAGCAUGGAAUAAUGAAAUAGGACGUUCGAUCCUAUUUUGUUGGUUUCUAGGAUUGACGUAAUGAUUAAUAGGGAUAGUUGGGGGCAUUAGUAUUCAAUUGUCAGAGGUGAAAUUCUUGGAUUUAUUGAAGACUAACUACUGCGAAAGCAUUUGCCAAGGAUGUUUUCAUUAAUCAAGAACGAAAGUUAGGGGAUCGAAGACGAUCAGAUACCGUCGUAGUCUUAACCAUAAACUAUGCCGACUAGG
This 477-nucleotide ribosomal RNA is filed under the name uncultured Glomus. RNAcentral describes it as "SSU rRNA". It matches the Rfam family "Eukaryotic small subunit ribosomal RNA", at positions 569 to 1050 of the family's 1831-position model. The record is from RNAcentral. Lineage: Eukaryota; Fungi; Glomeromycota; Glomeromycetes; Glomerales; Glomeraceae.